UUCAUACAUAAUUUGUAAGUCGCUCUGGUUAAGAGCGUCUGCUAAAUGACGUAAA
This is a non-coding RNA of Salmo salar (Atlantic salmon), 55 nucleotides long. Lineage: Eukaryota; Metazoa; Chordata; Actinopteri; Salmoniformes; Salmonidae. The record is from Rfam.